RNAcentral lists this microRNA (22 nucleotides) under Eisenia fetida (common brandling worm). Its description in RNAcentral is "Efe-Mir-2-o20_5p* (star (passenger))". Lineage: Eukaryota; Metazoa; Annelida; Clitellata; Crassiclitellata; Lumbricidae. The record is from RNAcentral.
UGUCCAAAUUGACUGGGAUGCG